CAUCUCAUUUUGCCGGGCGUACGUUGAAGGUGCCGUUAGAGGGUGCUGUAAUGGACGUUCUUCUAUUGAAAUCCUUGUCGAUGUCGCGUGGUUUGAGGUGUGUUUUUUAAGUUUUCACGUGUUUCCUAAUAAUUGGUUUGUACUGUAGGCGGACAUCCAUCGAAGCAAGAAAAAGCAUGAACACAAAUUUACCAUUUUUAACAAAAUUUUAGCGGGGGAUCAAGUAAAAUCUGGAAAUGUUCCAGGUUGGACGAGUGAGCAUACAGUUGAAAAACACUGAAAGUGCAUUACCAUUAAGGUAUGAGCUGCUUCUCUUGCUAAAGAACAACUUGUCCUUGACGUUCAGAGUGUUGGUGAAGCUGGGUACUUAAAUGGCUCUAAAGAUGUUUCACUUCGCUGGCAUUGCAGCGAUGAACAUCACACAUGGACUAUUUAGGAAAGGAUUUUUAGCAUACUGGGAACACAACUAUCAACAAUGCAACAUUCUAGGGGUGCUAUUUUAUCAUUCAAGAGCCUUAUACAAUGAUUAUCAUCUGCAAUUUGUAUGGCCUUUCCCAAGCUUCUACCAGAAGUUGAAUCUAUGAGUCAUGUUAAUAGUAACAUUGCAUCUGAAAAGAUUCUUGGUUGGGGCAAGACACUGAAUAAAUUGUAUUGAUUCGAUGGAUGACAUGACAUUUCUAUACUUAAUUUGGAUUCCCGAGACGGUAUUUUAUAUUUAAAAAAUUGAAGUGCAUAUCUGGGCUCCCUUCCUUUCCGUAGCCCCGUUUCCCCUUGACUCGUAAUAAGCCCGUAGGGGGUCAUGCCCCUACUGUACGGUAUAUAUAAAAACAACAUAUUCCGAGGUUUGGAGGGCUCUGGCCGGAAAGGGGACGUGGGGUGCCGCUUAGUCCGAUGAUGUGUUCACGGAGGGCGAUGUGGCUACCCACAAAUCCGAACUAAAGGUUAAUCGCUCCUGUAAAAAUGUUCCAAAUCUUCAGCUCUUCUUCCGGCUUCUCUUAGCCAAUCACCGGGUGGGCCAAAAAAUGUCGGAAAAAAAAAUCGCACUUUUUUUCUUUUUUUCCGACACGUACCCAUCUACCGCUCAGACUCGUUAUUACAGGCGAAGGCAAUUUCAGUCCAUUGGAUGCCAUUCGCAGUUAGUUCAUUAGCGUGGAUGGAGAAUAACGCGUGGCUGGAGAAACAAUUGUAAAAUGGUUAAGAUAAUACAACAAAAGGAUGAUCAAAUUAUGAAGCUGCAGGCCCAAUUAUUGGAACAACACAAAAUAUUAGAUAACAGCAAAGCUAAGGAUGCUCAAAUUUUGAGUCUACAAGCUCAGCUAGGGGAAAAGAACAAAUUGGAACGGAACAGUUUUCAAACAGUGAAGGAGGUUUUUCAAAACUCUUCCUUAAUUGAAUGUGAGGAUGAGUUGGCAUUAGGCUAACACAGUCAGUUAUUCAGUCCACCACCUGACAGUGUGUUAAAUUUAAAUUCUGUUAGUGCUGUACUAAAAGAAUCGUUAAUAAUAAGUCCAUGCAGCGAAGGAACUGAACAAUUGUGGGACCGUAGUUAGGCCGAAAAUGGGUGUGGUUCGGAAACCCAGAAAUGGCACAAGUCAACAUAAAACAUGGAUUAGGUACUGUGUUAACCCAUUUCAGAGAUUUCUAUGUCGAGCGUUGUUUUCAAAUUUUCUUCGUGAAAUUGUCAUUGACACUAACAGCAAACAGGCAUACACAUUAGCAUACUUAUUAUGUGCGCGGAUGCUGUUGUGCAUGCUUUUGAAUUAUAUUAUACGGCUGCCAAUUGA
This is a long non-coding RNA of Daphnia carinata, 1784 nucleotides long. RefSeq lists it as uncharacterized. The transcript is spliced from 8 exons. Lineage: Eukaryota; Metazoa; Arthropoda; Branchiopoda; Diplostraca; Daphniidae. The record is from RefSeq and is a predicted model, not a curated record.